This 602-nucleotide ribosomal RNA is filed under the name Chaetothyriales sp. NY6956a. Its description in RNAcentral is "eukaryotic LSU rRNA". The stretch from base 242 to 396 matches the Rfam family "5.8S ribosomal RNA". Lineage: Eukaryota; Fungi; Ascomycota; Eurotiomycetes; Chaetothyriales. The record is from RNAcentral.
GCGGAAGGAUCAUUACCGAGUUAGGGUCUCCUUCGUGAGGCCCGACCUCCCAACCCUGUGUCUAACAAACCUGUAUGUGUUGCUUCGGCGGAACGGCAGUCACCCCUCCGGGGGAGACCGUCGCCGGGGGCGUCCAGCCCUUGGAGAGCGUCCGCCGAUGGCCCAACCAAACAAACUCCCAAACCAAAUAAUAGUACCUAAAACUUCUGAAUCAGACUUUUGAUAUACCAAUCAAAAACAAAACUUUCAACAACGGAUCUCUUGGUUCUGGCAUCGAUGAAGAACGCAGCGAAAUGCGAUAAGUAAUGCGAAUUGCAGAAUUUCCGUGAGUCAUCGAAUCUUUGAACGCACAUUGCGCCCUUUGGCAUUCCGAAGGGCAUGCCUGUUCGAGCGUCAUUAUCCUCUCUCAAACCUCGUGUUUGGUGUUGGACCGCGUUGGACCGCCUCCAUGGCCAACUGGUCUCAAAGACAAUGACGGCGUCCCAGGGACCCUCUUCGCACUGAGUUCUCCGGAGCACGCGUAGAGUUUCAAGGCCCCCGGGACCCGGUCACCUUUAUAUUUUUCUAGGUUGACCUCGGAUCAGGUAGGAAUACCCGCUGAA